AUGGGAGAGAAUUUGAACGCUCUUGGCAGUUGAGAUUCAGACCUUGACAGUUGUAACCGAUAGACUGGGCUGGGGCAACGCUGAUGAAAGGCAAAUUCCUGAGAGAAAAAUCACCCAGAUUUUUCAGUGCCUUCUCUAGCUUUCUAGAAGUUGUUAUGAGUGGACCUGACUACCUAGAGAGAGUAAUACAGAAGCUCCGUGCCGAUCACAGCUACCUCAUUACCAUGUUCCUCCAAGAUGGCCGCCCCUGAGGAGAAUCAUCAACUGGGCUUUACGGAAGAGAGAAAUCCAAACGACCAUCAGCAACAAAUGAAAGACUGAAGUUGAAAGGAAAUCCAUAAUUUUUGAAUGCUGGCCGAGGUCUGUGACCUCUGACUGAAUGGUUUCCAAGCUCCGAAUUCCUAGGUGAUGUUUUCAUUUGUUCACACUUGCUGAAGAAGGGAAAGGCUCUCUGAUUUACGUGUAAGCAAAACAAUCUAAACAGUAGGAUAAAAUCAUGUUGGAAUGGAGUUCUGUGUGGAUGCUCCUUUGAACCAAAUCAGUUCCACAACUGACCCUGUCAGGGACAUAUAAAUUUAGCAUUUUGGUGUGGAUACAGAAGACGAGAUUAACACAGAUCAAGUAACAUGGAAAUAAAAAAGGAGACAAUGCUGGAUGAUACAGGGGCAGCCAACAAGAGGAGAAAACCCAAGCAUUGGCAAAUGCCUCAUUAUCCAAAGAACACUCCUUAUACUCCUGAGAAUUUGUGGCAGUCCUGGGUUAAACGAUGAAGGCUUCUUAUUCUCAUGUAGGUCUCACAGCCUCUUGUCUCCCUGAGUUUUAAACACAUUGCAUUACCUUUCCAGAGGAGGUGUGGAGCAAAACUGUGUUGAAUGAACUGUAGAUGGAAAUUCUCUCCUUCCCACCGAGGAGCCGCUGCAGGUUGCAGACUCCCAGAAUGCCACACUGAGAAGAGGAGGGCUAAAAUUCUAGAGCAGAAUCCCUGGGGCAGCCCCUGCUGAAGAAGGGUGCAUCUGUUGAGAAUCUCAUCACCGCCCCCACCCCGCCCAGCCUUCAAUUUAGAGGAAUUUCUAGUUCACGCAGAAUGAAGACAAGAUCACAUAAGUGAGGACGACGCCCCAUUUACAAGUGUGAUUUGGAAGACUGAAGUGGAAACCUUGGGAAGGGGCCUCAGAGUAUGUCAGCUGGGGUCAGACGGGAACAGGAGUCUGGCUCAACACACAUUUAUUGCACUCCUGUUUCAUGCCAAGAAAUGUACCAAAAUCUGGGACUGUGUAACACAGCAAAGGAAAAGACUCAUCUCCAGGAAGCCCCCUUGUCUAGGAAGAGAAAUUGAAUAUCAGCAUAAGGUGGUGAAAAGCUGUGAAGGAGAUGAGUGCCAGGAGUCCAUGGAGGAAGGAUUCUAGCCUGGACAGGUGAUUGUGGUGAAUAGUCAUGAGAAUCUGGGAACUGGCUCCUGCUCUGUCUAUCUUGGAGAUGCAUCUUUUGUGAGAAGCCAGGGCAAGAAUAGGGAGGCUUAGGCAAUGGGAAGUUUCUGAGUAGAUAAAGCAGAUGGCAGAGCAAAGGGACAGAGCCUGGCGAGAGGCUACUCCCUGUAGCAACCUGCCUAAGAGUGAGAGGAAAGCAAGGCAUGGCUAUGAGCACGUGUAGUCUCAGCUACUUGGGAAGCUGAGGCUGGGGGAUCACUUGAGCCCAGGAGUUCAAGACCAGCCUAGGCAACAUAGUGAGACCAUGUCUCUUUAAAAAAAAAAAAAAAAAGAAAAAGGGAGAGAGAGAAAAAAAGGUGACAAUUCCCCCAACACACAUAAAGUACAUAAGAGUUAACAAGGACACAGUGGCAGAAAAUAGUCAGAACUGAGCAAGCAUCAGUGAGGAAAUGUUUUCCUGAGGAGACUUGAGAAGUCUCAAAAAUGAAAAGAAAGAGUAUUUGGUGUAGAAAGAAUGGCAUGAGAUGUGAAAGCUCAUUCAUCCAUUUAUUCCAGGUAUAUCUUUUUCUUCAGUACUUUGGGAGGCAAUAGGUGUAAUAGCAAGAACAUUCAGGUUAGUGGGUUAGUGUGAGUCUGCCAUAUGUAUGAGGGUUGAAUACACAUUAGGUGUGGUGACUGUCAUAUGGGAGGCACUGCAAGGUGAAGGAGACAUGUCCUCACAUUUGGUCUUUGGGAAGCGAAGCAGGCAGAAACCCAAGUGCAAAGUGGCCAUUUGUUUUCCUAAUGCUAGAUAAGUACCUGAUGUGUUGGAAGGGUGGAGUAGAACUAGAAACUCCUGGAAGUUCUUUUAAGAACGAAUGCAGGACCUCAUCAGCCCGAGUCUUUAAAUAAGUCACACAUUUUUGGUCACCACAUUCUGGAAGGGGGACAAAAAGAUCUGUCACAGACAAAAUUUGGAGAUAUUUAAGGCUUUGUUGACUUUGGCAAAUGCUUGAUUAUAGUUCUGUGGUCUGUUUGUUUUCUAGAGUCUCCAUGAAUUGCAAGGGAAAACAAGUGGUACACUGGUAUUUCUAUUUGAUAACCUGUUCUCUUUGGAAUUCCGGUUAGAAAUCAAAGGCUUACUUGAGUUUUAAUGCUUUCGGGACUUCAAAUGCUUUUCUAUCUUCCUAAUAAUAUAUUAACAUUUUCUGAAGACAACAUAUAUGUGGAAAACAACAUUAUUUACUCAAAUAAUUUUUUUUGAAAAAUGGACCAAAAAAAAAGAAAAACCAACAAAAA
Molecule: long non-coding RNA, 2705 nt
Filed under: Homo sapiens (human)
Lineage: Eukaryota; Metazoa; Chordata; Mammalia; Primates; Hominidae
Description: long intergenic non-protein coding RNA 1206
Source: RNAcentral